GAUGAACGCUGGCGGCGUGCCUAAUACAUGCAAGUCGAGCGAACAGAUAAGGAGCUUGCUCCUUUGACGUUAGCGGCGGACGGGUGAGUAACACGUGGGUAACCUACCUAUAAGACUGGAAUAACUCCGGGAAACCGGGGCUAAUGCCGGAUAACAUUUAGAACCGCAUGGUUCUAAAGUGAAAGAUGGUUUUGCUAUCACUUAUAGAUGGACCCGCGCCGUAUUAGCUAGUUGGUAAGGUAACGGCUUACCAAGGCAACGAUACGUAGCCGACCUGAGAGGGUGAUCGGCCACACUGCAACUGAGACACGGUCCAGACUCCUACGGGAGGCAGCAGUAGGGAAUCUUCCGCAAAGGGCGAAAGCCUGACGGAGCAACGCCGCGUGAGUGAUGAAGGUCUUCGGAUCGUAAAACUCUGUUAUUAGGGAAGAACAAAUGUGUAAGUAACUGUGCACGUCUUGACGGUACCUAAUCAGAAAGCCACGGCUAACUACGUG
RNAcentral lists this ribosomal RNA (497 nucleotides) under uncultured bacterium. Its description in RNAcentral is "partial 16S ribosomal RNA". It matches the Rfam family "Bacterial small subunit ribosomal RNA", at positions 28 to 507 of the family's 1533-position model. The record is from RNAcentral.